RNAcentral lists this ribosomal RNA (798 nucleotides) under Helicobasidium purpureum I. RNAcentral's name for it is "LSU rRNA". It matches the Rfam family "Eukaryotic large subunit ribosomal RNA", at positions 71 to 867 of the family's 3401-position model. The record is from RNAcentral. Lineage: Eukaryota; Fungi; Basidiomycota; Pucciniomycetes; Helicobasidiales; Helicobasidiaceae.
AGGAUUCCCCCAGUAACGGCGAGUGAAGAGGGAACAGCCCAAAUUUGUAAUCUGGCCCUUUUGGGGUCCGAGUUGUAAUCUCGAGAACUGUUUUCCGUGCCGGACCAUGUACAAGUCUGUUGGAAUAUAGCUUCAUAGAGGGUGAGAAUCCCGUACAUGACAUGGACCGCCGGUGCUUUGCGAUACAGUCUCUAAGAGUCGAGUUGUUUGGGAAUGCAGCUCAAAUUGGGUGGUAAAUUCCAUCUAAGGCUAAAUAUUGGCGAGAGACCGAUAGCGAACAAGUACCGUGAGGGAAAGAUGAAAAGCACUUUGGAAAGAGAGUUAACAGUACGUGAAAUUGUUAAAAGGGAAACGCUUGAAGUCAGCCUUGUUCUUGGUUGUUCAGCCUUAGGGCGUAUUCAACUUUGAGCAGGCCAGCAUCAGUUUUGGGUGCCGGAUAAGGGCUUAGGAAAUGUGGCAGCUUAGGCUGUGUUAUAGUCCUUUGCUUGAUACGGUGCCUGGGACUGAGGAACGCAGCGAGCCUUUUGGCGGGUCCCCUCGGGGGCCUUCUCGCUUUGGAUGCUGGCGUAAUGGCUUUAAACGACCCGUCUUGAAACACGGACCAAGGAGUCUAACAUGCUUGCGAGUAUUUGGGUGGCAAACCCGGAUGCGUAAUGAAAGUGAAUGAAGGUGGGAACCGCAAGGUGCACCAUCGACCGGUCCGGAUUUUUAAUGAUGGAUCCGAGUAAGAGCAAGUACGUUGGGACCCGAAAGAUGGUGAACUAUGCCUGAAUAGGGUGAAGCCAGAGGAAACUCUGG